AAUCGGUCACCAGCUCGUCGCAGCCAAUCUUGCAUCAAUAAUUCUAUCUCGCUGAUAGUCGCCUCGCUAUUCUUCAUAACAGUUUCUACAAUACAAAUGUAAUCAUCCUCCUCAUCAAUCCAUUUCUCCUCAGAUGUGUCAGUACUGUCUUCUCUCGCGUAUGCACAAAGACGGCGAUUUUUUUGCCGUCUGGAUAACUCUUGAAAAGCCUUUGGCAUCUGUAGUAACAAUUGAUUUAUACACUAUGAUUGAGUAUAGGAUAGACGUUCGGCUUAUGACAUUUACGUAAUUUGUAGCUUAUCAUAAAUUUUAUUGAACUGUAACAUGAUAGACGUUUUAUAUUUUAAAGCUAUUAAUAUGUUAUGAUUCUGUAUCUUUUUAUGUUCUUGUAAAAGAUCUUUAUUAAACAAUAAUACAUAUACUCUA
Molecule: long non-coding RNA, 426 nt
Organism: Solenopsis invicta (red fire ant)
Lineage: Eukaryota; Metazoa; Arthropoda; Insecta; Hymenoptera; Formicidae
Exons: 2
Source: RefSeq, a predicted model, not a curated record